CAGUUAUCACGUACCCUAUCUUUCUUCAAUUUUCUCCUAUAACCAUUACCUCAGUUUUCACCGUACCCUAUCUUUCUUCCAUUUUCUCCUAUAACCAUUACCUCUGGGCUGGUAGCACGACGUCACAGGAGGCGGGACAGGCGCCGCCAAGCUGUACCACCACCACCACAACCACCACCACCACCACCACCUGCUGCGCUGCCAGUACCAACACCACCACCACCACCACCACCACCUGCUGCGCUGCCAG
Molecule: long non-coding RNA, 250 nt
Organism: Pseudophryne corroboree (corroboree frog)
Lineage: Eukaryota; Metazoa; Chordata; Amphibia; Anura; Myobatrachidae
Exons: 5
Source: RefSeq, a predicted model, not a curated record